GGCCUGCACUUCAGUCUACGUCUGGUACUAGGCCUUUAUUUUAUUGUAUGGCAUUACUGCUUCAAGAAAUAUAUUUUUAGUCAUGGGCAAGACCUAAAAACAUAUCUGGUUGCUUUCCAAAGUCUGAAACGUUGUUUUUUUAAUCUCAAGAUGCAGGGUACGGGGAGCAAAGCCUACAGAAAUGGCCUGCUAAGUGAGAAGCAUUUAAACAACUUGUAACAGCAUACAAUUCACUAGGUCACAAUGUUCAGUUUAAAAGCUGUGUUUUCUAAGCCCUUAAUUUUAUCAGAACUUUAAAUAUAGGAUAAAUGCUUUUAUGCCUGUAGAAGAUGCAAUUAGAGUUCCACCAUUUAACAAGAGCCAGAAACAGCAACAAUUUCAGUGGCCAUGGCUAGGUUUUGCCUUCUAAUUGUAUGCUUUCUCUUCCCAGCUCCACCCAGCAUGUGCAUGUGAAGCCGACCAUAUCUAAAGCUAUGGCAAGGAAACUACAUGGGUGUGGUCCCAGCUAAGCCCAGCCACGUCUCUGCAGGGUGCUGACUGCUCCGGGAGGAGGAAAGCAUGAAACAGGAACAACAGUUCUGUGUCCUUUGCAUGAGUAACAGAUGUUUUGAAAGAGCUGCAAGAGACCAAGAUAAAUAAGAAGAGCUUCAUGCUGAUAUGGGAAGUGUCAGAAAGCCUUGAAGACACUCAGAGAACUCAAGGGAACCCUUAUCUCAUCUGCAUAUGGUGUUCACAAAGGGCCUGCUGGAAGAUCCAAGUCCAGUCUGCACUCAUGAAGCACCUGCUCUGCAGCAAGGCAGACUUCAUGUGGGGAUCUGAAGGGUGGAAGACAGCAGUGUAA
Molecule: long non-coding RNA, 841 nt
Filed under: Anas platyrhynchos platyrhynchos (common mallard)
Lineage: Eukaryota; Metazoa; Chordata; Aves; Anseriformes; Anatidae
Description: lncRNA (ENSAPLG00000028801.1)
Source: RNAcentral